Zonotrichia leucophrys gambelii is the source of this 2952-nucleotide long non-coding RNA. RefSeq lists it as uncharacterized. The record is from RefSeq and is a predicted model, not a curated record. Lineage: Eukaryota; Metazoa; Chordata; Aves; Passeriformes; Passerellidae. The transcript has 3 exons.
AAAGGGUGCACAGGGGCUGGAGGUUCUGCUACUGGGAGUUUGGCCCCCAGAGAAGUUAGAAAGAGGGAUCUCAAUGCUUGCAACCUCUGUUCUGACUCUGGGCACCAUCAGCUUUCUCUUCAUGGACCACAGUCAUGUCUCACCUGCCCAAAGGAUAUGGCCGCAGCGCUGGUGACAAUGCAUGAGCAGGCCAAGGCUGCUGCUUCUGGACUUCUGUGACCUAUGCUUUACACCACCUGGCUGGUUUAAUUCAUGAAUCCUCUAUUAAUAUGACAAGCUCUGCAAAGGUGACUAAAAUGUUAAGGAGACAGAUGUCAUCAAUAUCUCUCAAGGAUGCUCUGGAUGAAUGCUAAUCAUAAUUUUAACAGUUCCCUGUGCUUUUCUCAAGUGUCAAAGCCUUUAUUUUCGGCCACUCCUGGUGGAGAAACCCCAUCUUACACAAAUGAGCAAUGUAGCUGCAAGUAUCCUUGUAACUCAAAAGAAGACACAGACUGCUUUGUAUUACUACCAGGGCACAAUUUGUCCUUCAGGCAAGAAAGCAAUUCUUUGCUAAGGGUAUUGCUAGCUCCAUGCUGAGUCAGCUCAGCAUCUUGCUCUCACAGACACCUCACCUGGAAAAAUACCUCAGGGUCUGAUGUGGCUGUCCUAGGAGUGACUAAAGUGGAGGCUGGACUAAGCAGAAGCAGAUCUGAGGUAGAUAUAGCACAGGGAAGGGAGAAAGGGUCCCAGUGGCACAAAUAGAUUGUUUAAACAACAAAUUGUCAUCACCAGAGGGGCUAAGGAGAGGAUGCUGAUCUCUGGGGUGGUCUCAGCAUUAAGUGGGAGAUACCACGAGCAAACUCAACAUUUUGCCUGUGCUUAAAAAGCAGCAAAAACAAGGAAAUGAGUAAACCUCUUAUCUUAAUUUUCUUGCAAGUUGCUUAGUGCUUUGGACCACAUUAAACUGCCUGGAUUGAGCCCAUGUAAGAAACCAGAUGUCAGGUUCAGAUCCAGCCAUGCUGUUGGCUCCAGGACACAGUUUAUAUCUGAGUCCAAGAUGCACAUCAUGGGCCUGUUCUGGCCUGAGCAUGAUGCAUUUCUCCUCCCAGACAAAGCUCCCUAUCUACACUGUCCACAUCAUAUUUAUCCUUAGGAGACUGAAGCAGGAAGAUUGUUUCAUCUUUGGAAAAAACCUCUUUUGCAAAUGGCAUUGUGCUGGUCUCAUCUCUCCUUUCACACUCCUUCCCAAGGCAGUUACUUGUCUGCUGUAAUUUACUCUUUAAUGCAGCACUUUCCUAUUCUGUGAGACAACAAUCAUGAAGCAUUUAAAUUCCAAUUGAGUAGGGCUGGAGUGCAGAGGGGCUGCAGCUUGUGCAGCGGGGACAAUGGGAACCUGAGACAGGGGACACCAGUUCAAGGCCCCCCAGGAAGGAAGGCUACAAGCUUCUCCCUCACAUUCCCAUCUCCCUAGAGAUGUAAAUCAAGAAAAAGAAGGGAGGGGAAGAGGAGGAGGGGGGUGUUUAUAGAAAGAAAAGGGAAAAUGGAUUGAGUUGUGCUGAAUUCUAAGACAAGGAUCAGCUACACAAGAGAACUAUUGAAUAGCUGUGAAAUCUGGAAUUGAGCCAUCAAAAAAGCUGCUGAGCUGCAUGUGAAUCAGGUUGAUUGUUUUUGAGAAGCACCUGAUUUUUUUUUUUUUUUGCCCCUCUCUCUCUCCCAGGCUCCGUGCUUAGCCUUGGAAUUUGAACAUGACUGCUGAUGUGCUAAACUGCUUUUCCUUGAGAUAGAGAUAUUUUAGGGACCAGGAAAGGAGGGAGGGCAGGGGAGCGUCUCUCUGGAUGUGAAGGCUGUGGUACUGGGAUUGUGAGCUGACAGGUUCCCCAUUGCUCUGGGGAAUGGCAUCGAGGAGUUCCCACUGCUGGCAGAGACCAAGCAGGAGAAGCAAAGAGCUGUAACUCCCUGGGACAAGGGAGGCUGGCUGCCCUGUAGCUGGGCUGCAAGUACAUUUUGCCAGCUCUUCACCGGGUUUGUGCUCUCAGGAAUUCACAUUUCCUAUCUUGUCUCCCAGGACAGAGACAGCACCUAUUUCCUGCUGAGUGGUCCCUGCUGGACCUUCGGAAAAUGAAUUGCAAAGCCCCAAUUUAAUUUAAUACACUUAUCUGCACGGUGUCUGAUUUUCUCAUGUGCAGUGGUGGAGUUAUAAUUCCCUCUUCAGCAUUCACUAGUGAGGGAAGCAAAGCACAGGGAUGCUGUUUUCCCAAAGAGAACUGUGAUUCCAGAGUGGCCCAAAAAGGCACACUAAAAGAAAGAAGAAAAAAAAAUUAUCAAAGCUGCUUUGAAAAAUCUAGCAGUUUGCCUAGGGUUAUGGAUGAGUUGGGAUUGCAAGAGUGAUACUUUGCCUUUCCUCAUUUGGUAUGUCUGAGAACCGUCUCUGUUCUAAUUUAUUAUUAUUGUAUUGCAUUAUUGUGUAAUUUUAUUGCAUUAAAAAUCAUGUGAAUAGCACCAUGGUGCUCUGCAACACAGAGCCACUGCUCCAAGGAGCCUGGUUUAACUGCUUCCAGAUUUGACUCAAGAGUCAUACACUCUAUUACCUUACGCAGAAAACAUCUGCAUUGUUUUAUUGUUGCUUGUUUACUGAGCACUGAGGGUAAGCACUGUGCUAGGAGAACUUACACAGUCUGGACAUUUCUAUCAUACUUGAGCUCUUCUGCAAUGGGAUGGGCUCGUGUGGCCUCUUCCCUCGGUCGUGGUGCCUUAGCUCAGCCCAACCCCACAGCCCCUCUGCCCCUCCAGAAGAAGUUGACAAGACUCAGUUUCUUCCCAAGCCUUGGAGGGGUAUUUAGACCCCACAGACCACCUUUGCCUGUAGGUCACACCAGUGCCCAUGUUGGUCACACCAAUGGCUGAGAAGCUCUGGGUACCUUGGGGCAGCCCUGGGGGCAGUCUCAGUGCCACCUUGCCCCCACAAGAGCGUGU